CCCGGUGAUUAUUGGCAGGAGGCCACACCCGUUCCCAUUCCGAAUACGGCCGUUAAGCUCCUGAUCGCUGAUGAUACUGCAGUCUUACGACUGUGGGAAAGUAGGUUAUCGCCGGGU
This 117-nucleotide ribosomal RNA is filed under the name Candidatus Coatesiibacteriota bacterium. Lineage: Bacteria; Candidatus Coatesiibacteriota. The record is from RNAcentral.